CAGACGCAGGCUCUCACUGACAAGUUGGUGGGGGUGAGGUUUCUUGCAUUAGUACAUUGACGCGUACAUGUUUUUCUGUUGGCUACAUACAGGUAAAAUUCUUUAUCGUAGUGCUGUUUUAGUGUCUCAAAAGCUAUUUUAGCUUCAGUUGUCCAUUUUAACACUGCUUUAAACAACUGGUUUCCUGCUUCUUUUAGGAGUUCUCUAAACGAUGCUGUUUUCCUGCAUAGUUUUCAAUCCAGUCUGCAUUGAAACCUGUCAUUCCCAACAAUGUCAUCAUUUCGCUGACUGUCCGUGGACUUGGAGCUUUGCUAAAACCUUCCAGUUGAGAAGGUGAAAUGCUAACUCUUCCUUGAGAGGUCCUUUUGUCUCUCCUCGGACGGGGGAGAGAGGGAGAGGAGGGGCAACGCUCCGGGAGGAGGGAGUGAAAAGUGUUGUGUGUGUGGCUCUCCUUGCCUACGUAGAGCUGUAUGUGUGGUUCCUCUGCCUGAGGAGAACUUAGUGUGUGUGUGCAAGAUUUUCCUUCGGGCGGGGGAGAGAGCUACUUGGCAGUCUUUAACUAACAGGCUAAAAAUAACUCAGCCUGCCAGUGGUUCUGCCCCACUGACAGGCAAAAAAGGCAGACGGAGCCGUCUCCUUCCCCAAACAAAACAGUCUUACAAAUACAAAGUUUAAAUACCUGCACCCACAUCUUAACAACAUAACAGCUUCAAAAAGUAUACACACCUUGGUCCACCAAGAUUUCCUUACAACAAUAAAAGUUUCCAAGCACUUUUUAGCUCAUCAACCUAGACAACUUUACCUCUAACAGUGGGACUUGAAUACAAAAAAACAAACAAAAACAAAACAAAAGCAACCAUGCAGUUUCAUUCAUCCAUGCGUUUUAGUCAUCCAAUAAAGCUCUCAUCCUUUAUAAUCACACGUAGACGUCAACAACAAUCACACAUUCUUAAUCAUCACCUUUCAACAUUCCCACAUUCUCACGUUUUCCUUUCACUCUCACUCUCCCGGGAGACUUAUUGUUUUUCUUAAAGGUCCAAAUGUUCAAUGUUCCUGGAUUUUAACUGUGCGCACAGAAAAUUUAAAUCAGGUUUUUUAUGGGACCCAGAGCAAAAAAAAAAAAAAAAA
Molecule: long non-coding RNA, 1128 nt
Organism: Fundulus heteroclitus (mummichog)
Lineage: Eukaryota; Metazoa; Chordata; Actinopteri; Cyprinodontiformes; Fundulidae
Exons: 2
Source: RefSeq, a predicted model, not a curated record